GACGAACGCUGGCGGCGUGCCUAAUACAUGCAAGUUGAGCGCUGAAGGUUGGUACUUGUACCAACUGGAUGAGCAGCGAACGGGUGAGUAACGCGUGGGGAAUCUGCCUUUGAGCGGGGGACAACAUUUGGAAACGAAUGCUAAUACCGCAUAAAAACUUUAAACACAAGUUUUAAGUUUGAAAGAUGCAAUUGCAGCACUCAAAGAUGAUCCCGCGUUGUAUUAGCUAGUUGGUGAGGUAAAGGCUCACCAAGGCGAUGAUACAUAGCCGACCUGAGAGGGUGAUCGGCCACAUUGGGACUGAGACACGGCCCAAACUCCUGCGGGAGGCAGCAGUAGGGAAUCUUCGGCAAUGGACGAAAGUCUGACCGAGCAACGCCGCGUGAGUGAAGAAGGUUUUCGGAUCGUAAAACUCUGUUGGUAGAGAAGAACGUUGGUGAGAGUGGAAAGCUCAUCAAGUGACGGUAACUACCCAGAAAGGGACGGCUAACUACGUG
RNAcentral lists this ribosomal RNA (497 nucleotides) under uncultured bacterium. RNAcentral's name for it is "partial 16S ribosomal RNA". It matches the Rfam family "Bacterial small subunit ribosomal RNA", at positions 28 to 507 of the family's 1533-position model. The record is from RNAcentral.